UGAUAGACAACAACCGGCAUUAUGCUACGCAUAGUCGAAGCCAUGACCAAAAAAAAAAAAAGUUACCACCGUUCUAGAUCUGACUUUCAAGACUAACAAUGUACUGACAAAAUAGGCCUCAUCGCUGCUGCCAUGUCCACAACCACAAUAUAUCACACUCUCACUCUGUGCAGAGCCGCAGAGGUCCAUGGUCAGCUGAGGAAGCAUUAUUUAGUCGCAAUUCCGGUGAGAAUUAGCAUGCGAAUGACAAUUUUUUGCUUUUUAGUUGGCAUAUAUUGAAUAUUGAAUGAAUUCUUCAAUACAUAAAGAUAGGGAGAAAGAGUGUUAACCCAAGCAAACAACCAAACUCACCCAUCUCAUGAUCUCGUUGCAGGUGGCUAUGAAUUGAAAAUUCAGGGCACUGUUGACAGGCUUAUCGUUCUGUUGCUAUACAUUAUAAUUGAUAUUUGUUCGGGAGGCAUCACCCUACCUUUCUGCAGUUCUUGAUUUCUAUACUGGCCGAUAUUGGAGUUUUGACAAGAUGACCCAUCGCAAUGUUGAAGCCUCUAUGGUUGUGAAAUUUGGAGAGCAAAAAUCAAUUGCUGGCAUUAUGAUGGAGAGAGGUUUGUGAUAUUCAGAAGAUUCUUUUAGCAUAUGAUAUGAAAGGUGAUCCAGUAUCCUUAUGCGUGAAUAGGCUAGCAUCCACUUGAGAGACUAUUUAAAGUAAUUUUGUUGUUAACAAAUUAUUGUUCCUUAUUCUAAAUGGUAUAGAGAUAAUUAACUUUAAAUUAAAGGAGGAUGUGAAUAUGUGAUAGAAUCAGUUUUUUA
Quercus lobata is the source of this 807-nucleotide long non-coding RNA. RefSeq lists it as uncharacterized. The transcript has 5 exons. The record is from RefSeq and is a predicted model, not a curated record. Lineage: Eukaryota; Viridiplantae; Streptophyta; Magnoliopsida; Fagales; Fagaceae.